AUAUUUGCUGUGGGGUCACACCUCCGUGCUAUGUGCCAUCAGUAGUAGGAAUAUCCUGGCCAUCUAGGCAACAUCUCUUUCUAGAAUACUGAACUCUUAUGUUUGGUUUACUUGCUGUUCUCCCCCACACUGCAAGUGCUGCUGUAAGCUGAACCACUCUGGGAAAAUUUCCAAGGAAUAAUGGGAGGAAUUCUCAAGGACAAGAUGAGGACAGCACAAGGCUGAAAUAUAUCCCAGUGAGGCUGCAAAGGAUGUGGAAGGAAAGCUACAGAUGGCAGGUGGCAGCCUGCAGAACCAAGCACAGCCCUGACCUGAUGAGCUGCUUCUCAUCCAGAACUAAUAAAACCAAAGAUUAAGAGGGAAGAGAGAGCCAAUUCAGUGCAGGUACACUGCAAGGGCCAAAGUUGCACCUCAUGUUUGGUGCUGGAAACCAAAUACAGCAGGAAAAUAAAACAACAUGUGAU
Molecule: long non-coding RNA, 464 nt
Filed under: Manacus vitellinus (golden-collared manakin)
Lineage: Eukaryota; Metazoa; Chordata; Aves; Passeriformes; Pipridae
Description: lncRNA (ENSMVIG00005007812.1)
Source: RNAcentral